RNAcentral lists this ribosomal RNA (110 nucleotides) under uncultured bacterium. RNAcentral's name for it is "partial 16S ribosomal RNA". It matches the Rfam family "Bacterial small subunit ribosomal RNA", at positions 1373 to 1482 of the family's 1533-position model. The record is from RNAcentral.
CCCGGGUCUUGUACACACCGCCCGUCACACCAUGGGAGCGGGUUCUGCCAGAAGUAGUUAGCCUAACCGAAAGGAGGGCGAUUACCACGGCAGGGUUCGUGACUGGGGUG